UACGUAGGUGGCAAGCGUUGUCCGGAAUUAUUGGGCCUAAAGCGUCCGUAGCUGGCCUGUUAGAUGCCUGGGUAAAUCGAUGCGCUCAACGUAUCGAACUCCGGGUAGACCGGCAGGCUUGGGACCGGGAGAGGCGUGAGCUACUCGAGGGGUAGGGGUAAAAUCCUGUAAUCCUUCGGGGAGGACCAGUGGCGAAGGCGUCACGCUAGAACGGCUCCGACAGUGAGGGACGAAGCCCUGGGGCGCAAACCGG
RNAcentral lists this ribosomal RNA (253 nucleotides) under uncultured bacterium. RNAcentral describes it as "partial 16S ribosomal RNA". It matches the Rfam family "Archaeal small subunit ribosomal RNA", at positions 474 to 727 of the family's 1478-position model. The record is from RNAcentral.